Molecule: long non-coding RNA, 1299 nt
Filed under: Equus caballus (horse)
Lineage: Eukaryota; Metazoa; Chordata; Mammalia; Perissodactyla; Equidae
Description: lncRNA (ENSECAG00000048359.1)
Rfam family: mir-9014 microRNA precursor family (bases 669-756)
Source: RNAcentral
AAAAAUCCCCCCUGAACCUAGGGCAGCGUCCUACCCGUUGUUCCUACUGUGGGGUUCCUAUAGCAAGGGGUGAUGGGGGCGUCCCCCAGCAUUGCAUCCCUUGUAUACCUUCCCUGUUAUGCCUGGCAGUAACAGGUGCCUGGUGCCUAUUCUGCCUGACAGCAUAGGCCUGGUGAAUGGUUCCCGAGAGAAAAGGAGAAAGAAAAGGGGCCAUUACCUUGAAAAUCCCCCCAUUGGGGUUCCUGUAGCAAGGGAUGAUGGGGGCAUCCCUUGAACAUCUUCCCUAUUCUGCCUGGCAGGAAUAGGUGCCUGGCGUAUGGUCCCCAGGAGAGAAAAGGAGAAAGAAAAGGAGCCAUUACCUUGAAAAUCCCCCCAUUGGGGUUCCUGUAGCAAGGGAUGAUGGGGGCAUCCCUUGAACAUCUUCCCUAUUCUGCCUGGCAGGAAUAGGUGCCUGGCGUAUGGUCCCCAGGAGAGAAAAGGACAAAGACAGUGAGAAAGAGAAAGACAGUGAGGAAUUUUCCGCCAGUCUGGGGGACAUUCUACCCAAUUGCAUCCUGGAGCCAUUCUCCCAAGAAGGGGUUCCCAUACUCCACCAAAGGUUAGAGUUUGGUACUUCCCUUGAACUGGAGUCCCGAGUGGGACUUUCCUCGCAGUUCAGAGCGUGGUCAGGUGCCAGAGGGAGGGAUGCCAAUCCAGCCUUAGGAAAAGAAACCUUCCACGGGAGUCUUGGAGAUUGGCGGCCGUCCUAACGACUUAAGUGGCCGACCCGCGCCCACGUAAAAUUUGUCUAUUAGAGAUAGAGUCAGGAAGGAAUGGAUUAAUUCAUUCUCCAUCACCCUGAGGCUUAAGGUACUGAAUCUCUUCAAGCUGAAUGCCACAAUUUGCCCCAUAGAGUAGCCAUGGGCAGCAAACGUGGAUUCAUACAGCUGUCCGAGAAAGUUCCCGAUGGAGCAGUGAAUCUAGAUCCAUCCUUGAAAAAGAGAAAGGCACAAGGAAGAAAAGGGCACUUACCAGAACUCGAGCUCACAAGCCGAUGAAGCAAUUCCCCGUACGGGCCACCAGAAAUGAUGCGGGAUCGGUGAGCCGAGGAGUCGAAAGAAAGAUUUCUUAGACUCUCAAGAUCUGGCAGUAGUGCUCUUUUAUUUAGAGAAUAGUGUGGAAUAGCAUGGGGACAGGACCCAUGGGCAGGCAGAGCUUCUGCUGCUGCUGCCGCUGGCAUGGGGACAGGACCCAUGGGCAGGCAGAGCUGGUGCGUGGGGACAGGACCCACGGGCGGUCAGAGCUCCUGCUGCUGCCGAG